Molecule: long non-coding RNA, 206 nt
Filed under: Mytilus galloprovincialis (Mediterranean mussel)
Lineage: Eukaryota; Metazoa; Mollusca; Bivalvia; Mytilida; Mytilidae
Source: RNAcentral
UGAGACAGCAUCUCAAACAAAUGCCACUCACCAAAAAGGAGCGUUCAUAAAUAGGUUUUAUGCUAUCAGUUAUGAGAAAGGUGUUACACCAUUUAACAGGCUGUAAUUUGUCUUUAGUGCACAAGUACAAAGCCCUCAGAGACGACAAAAGGAUGGUAUAAGGAAAGGAACUAGAAUGAGACAGAAAAAAGCAGAAGAAAAAUGGG